This 347-nucleotide ribosomal RNA is filed under the name Odontotermes redemanni. RNAcentral describes it as "partial small subunit ribosomal RNA". The record is from RNAcentral. Lineage: Eukaryota; Metazoa; Arthropoda; Insecta; Blattodea; Termitidae.
UUGUGUUCUUGAAACUUAAAGAAUUUGGCGGUAUCCUACUCCGUUCAAAGGAAUCUGUCUCGUUAUCGAUAGUCCGCGUUGGACCUUACUUAGGGUUAGUUUUGGUUUGUAUACCGCCGUUUAUUGAUUAUCUUUUUAGAGUAUCAUGAAUUUUCUGGUUUCUUUAAUUUGAUUUAUUGCAGGUCAAGGUGCAGCUUUUUCUAAGUGUAAUGAUGGAUUACAGUGUUAUGUGUUGUUUGGAUUGUUUAUUUUAAUAUUGGCAUGAAAUUGGAUUUGGUUGUAAUGUUUUGUAGAUUGUUUUCAUGAUAGUUGGUUCUAGGAUAUGUACACAUGCCCCGUCGCUCUUA